Molecule: ribosomal RNA, 412 nt
Filed under: uncultured eukaryote
Lineage: Eukaryota
Description: bacterial SSU rRNA
Rfam family: Eukaryotic small subunit ribosomal RNA
Source: RNAcentral
CAAUAGCGUAUAUUAAAGUUGUUGCAGUUAAAAAGCUCGUAUUGGUAGCUCUUGAUGUGGGACUGCGCCCCGGUAUUUUGCCGUUGGGUGCGGGCUCGCGUCUUCCUCUCGUAGUUGGAUGGUGCACUUAACUGGGUGCCUUCUGAAUAUGGGACCUUACUUGAAAAAUUAGAGUGUUCAAAGCAGGCAAUCGCUUGAAUACAUUAGCAUGGAAUAAUAGAAUAGGACUUUGGUUCUAUUUUGUGGUUUCUAGGACCGAAGUAAUGAUUAAUAGGGACAGUUGGGGGCAUUAGUAUUUAAUUGUCAGAGGUGAAAUUCUUGGAUUUACGAAAGAUAAACUUCUGCGAAAGCAUUCGGCAAGGAUGUUUUCAUUGAUCAAGAACGAAAGUUAGGGGAUCGAAGACGAUCAGAU